UGGUGGUGAGAAAUGAGCACAUAUCAUUACCGGAGAAGUUGCUAUGCAAAAGAACUAUCUUGCACUAAGGGAAGGCCGAAGUAGAGGUCUUGGUGCAGUGGACUGGAGCAACGGCGGAAGAAGCCGUGUGGAAAGUUUUGUCGAGCCUUGUAAGGUUGUUUCCGUCAUCUAACCUUGAGGGCAAGGUCCUUCCGAUGGAUGAUGGUGUUGUUAUGGUGGAACUUGACCAAAAUAGUUGCAUGCAAGACAUGGAGAGAGAGGUGUUGAGAAGGGAAGAACAUAAUAAAAUAUUAGAAGAAGAUCUUACCGAGAUGGAGCCGAGGAGUGAAGAUGAAGUUGUUGCUGUGGAGGAGGCGUCGCUGGUUCUUACGGAAGCUAGGUUUCGAAGUGAAGAGUCUUCAAGGAAAG
This 408-nucleotide long non-coding RNA is filed under the name Zostera marina. RNAcentral's name for it is "long non-coding RNA (ZMAR_LNC000303)". The record is from RNAcentral. Lineage: Eukaryota; Viridiplantae; Streptophyta; Magnoliopsida; Alismatales; Zosteraceae.